RNAcentral lists this transfer RNA (73 nucleotides) under Ophioplocus japonicus. Its description in RNAcentral is "tRNA-Asn". The record is from RNAcentral. Lineage: Eukaryota; Metazoa; Echinodermata; Ophiuroidea; Amphilepidida; Ophiolepididae.
UAGGUUGAAGUUCACUGAUUUGAGCGUCUGGCCGUUAACCAGGGAGUAGUGGGAUUAAUACCUGCCAGCCUAG